UACGUAGGGAGCAAGCGUUGUUCGGAUUUACUGGGCGUAAAGGGCGCGUAGGCGGCGCGGUAAGUCACUUGUGAAAUCUCUGAGCUUAACUCAGAACGGCCAAGUGAUACUGCAGUGCUAGAGUGCAGAAAGGGCAAUCGGAAUUCUUGGUGUAGCGGUGAAAUGCGUAGAUAUCAAGAGGAACACCUGAGGCGAAGGCGGGUUGCUAGGCUGACACUGACGCUGACUGCGCGAAAGCCAGGGGAGCAAACGGG
RNAcentral lists this ribosomal RNA (254 nucleotides) under uncultured bacterium. RNAcentral describes it as "partial 16S ribosomal RNA". It matches the Rfam family "Bacterial small subunit ribosomal RNA", at positions 524 to 776 of the family's 1533-position model. The record is from RNAcentral.